This 530-nucleotide unclassified non-coding RNA is filed under the name Hevea brasiliensis (rubber tree). The record is from RNAcentral. Lineage: Eukaryota; Viridiplantae; Streptophyta; Magnoliopsida; Malpighiales; Euphorbiaceae.
UUAAUCCUAUUCAAAAUUGAAAAUUAUAGAAGAAACUUUCUUGAAAUAUUUUUUUGUAGUUAGUUGUAACACAAAAGUCAUUAGUUUCUAGUCAAUUAUCUUCUAUAUCCUAGAUUUCUAUUAAGACCUAAAAAAUUCUGUGAAUCAAGACCUAGGUAAUGGAAUUUUGUUGGGUUUGCGGGAAGAGAAAGAGAGUGGUUGUUAGUUUUCUUCUGCGUUUGGGGGUGGUGAGAGAGCUGUGUAUGAAGCAUAUGAUAGUGUCGUGUCAUACACAAAAGCUAUGAAUACUAGAUAAGGUAGCUCUUGUUAAAGUGGAGCAAAAUUACAAGGGAAAAUUACUAUUUAGUUUUUUUCUAUUUUUACGAAACUAACUAUUGGCUUUUUUAUUUUGAAAAAUUCAUUAACUAGUCUUUGUAUUUUUAUUCCGUACUAUUUAAUCUCUCCAUUCAGUUUAAAUCAAGUUUUUUAUUCGUUGAUGUAUAAGUAAGGAGUAAUUACUGUUAUGAGAACUAAAUAGUUAAGAAUUAAAA